RNAcentral lists this ribosomal RNA (720 nucleotides) under Bacillus sp. BA-115. Its description in RNAcentral is "bacterial SSU rRNA". It matches the Rfam family "Bacterial small subunit ribosomal RNA", at positions 60 to 760 of the family's 1533-position model. The record is from RNAcentral. Lineage: Bacteria; Bacillati; Bacillota; Bacilli; Caryophanales; Bacillaceae.
AGUCGAGCGAAUGGAUUAAGAGCUUGCUCUUAUGAAGUUAGCGGCGGACGGGUGAGUAACACGUGGGUAACCUACCCAUAAGACUGGGAUAACUCCGGGAAACCGGGGCUAAUACCGGAUAAUAUUUUGAACUGCAUAGUUCGAAAUUGAAAGGCGGCUUCGGCUGUCACUUAUGGAUGGACCCGCGUCGCAUUAGCUAGUUGGUGAGGUAACGGCUCACCAAGGCGACGAUGCGUAGCCGACCUGAGAGGGUGAUCGGCCACACUGGGACUGAGACACGGCCCAGACUCCUACGGGAGGCAGCAGUAGGGAAUCUUCCGCAAUGGACGAAAGUCUGACGGAGCAACGCCGCGUGAGUGAUGAAGGCUUUCGGGUCGUAAAACUCUGUUGUUAGGGAAGAACAAGUGCUAGUUGAAUAAGCUGGCACCUUGACGGUACCUAACCAGAAAGCCACGGCUAACUACGUGCCAGCAGCCGCGGUAAUACGUAGGUGGCAAGCGUUAUCCGGAAUUAUUGGGCGUAAAGCGCGCGCAGGUGGUUUCUUAAGUCUGAUGUGAAAGCCCACGGCUCAACCGUGGAGGGUCAUUGGAAACUGGGAGACUUGAGUGCAGAAGAGGAAAGUGGAAUUCCAUGUGUAGCGGUGAAAUGCGUAGAGAUAUGGAGGAACACCAGUGGCGAAGGCGACUUUCUGGUCUGUAACUGACACUGAGGCGCGAAAGC